This 2198-nucleotide long non-coding RNA is filed under the name Lathyrus oleraceus (garden pea). RNAcentral's name for it is "Pisum sativum (pea) long non-coding RNA (PSAT_LNC020407)". Lineage: Eukaryota; Viridiplantae; Streptophyta; Magnoliopsida; Fabales; Fabaceae. The record is from RNAcentral.
CAGCAACAUUCAAUUGCUUCAUUCAUUUUUCUCCUUUGCCAUAUGCAUUGCUCCACAUCAUUUUUUAUUUUUUCUCCAUCUUCCAAAAUUCAUAUCUAAGUGAAUAAUGAUCCAAAAAUUAUGUGGUUUUUUGCAUUGCAUUCCAUUUUCGGUCUAGUAUGUUAUGAACAUUUUUCCAUAAAUUGUGCAUGGCUGGAAAUUGUUUUUGUGCUAGGGAAUGUGAACAUGCAUGUAUUCUUGACCUUGCCUUGCCAUAUCAUUUGUGAAAUGUUGAGAUUUUAUCCAAUGAAUCUGAAAAUUUGCAUGAUGAAACUAGACUUCUUGCUUGACAUUUUGGUGUUGAUUUGGUAUUUUUACCGUUUGUCAUUUCUGUUUUAUGAUCAUGUUAAUGUUGGUGUGACAAUUUGUGUCACACCUUUACUUGUUCAACUUGAUUGAUGAAUUUGCCAUGCCAAAUGUUAUCCAAUUGCCUUGAGUUUUUGUAUGAUGCAUAUUAGGGAUAUUGUGAUUGCUCAUGAUUUUUGUUGGAAUUUUUGGGAUCAUUUCUGAUUUAAUUGAUAUUUUUCAUUCUGGAUGGUCACAUGUGAGCUUUUGGAUUGCCUUGAACUUCAUUUGAUUGUGAAAUGCUUGUUCCUUAUCCAAUGAAUGUGAAAUUUUGCACACUAUUUUUAGACAUGUUGAAUGUUGUUUUGGCUUUGGUUUGAGGUUUUUACGAUGAUCCAGCUCUGUUUUAGGCCUAUGCUAAGUUGGUGUGACAAUUGGUGUCACACAUGAGCUUGUUGUGCUUGCCUUGACUUAUGCUAUGUGAUUGCCAUGCCUAAUGAUGUCCAAUGCCUCUAAUUUUUUGUGUGAUGAUCAUGUUGUAUGUUCUGUUUACUCAUGAAUUUUGCCAAGAUUAUUUGAAUCAUUUUUGAUUUAAUGUGCAUUUGUUCAUUCUGAUGUCACAAUAUGGUCACAAUUUGCAUACCUUGCCAUGUUUGGUUCAUGAAAUGAAUUUGGUUAAGGAUAUUGGUAUGGGACCUUUUGGAUUGUGUUCUUGAUUAAAUGAAGUUGAUUCAUGUUAAAUUUCAUGUUCUGUUUUGAAUGUUUGACCUUCUUUGGACCCUAGGCUUUGACCUAGUGGUUUGUGACUCACAGUUGAGUUUUGAUUUCAGGUUUACACAUCCAAGUCCAUAGUUGAUGAUGCUUCUUCACUUGAGCAUUGAUGUUUGCUCUAGAUGUUGGCUAACCAUGAGUUGUUUUUUAGGUUGAUGCCAAGUCAUUUGUGUUGUGCUUAUUGGCUUGUGGCUUGCACAUUGCUUGCUUAUCUGUCUGAUUGUGUGAUUAACUGUUGUCUGUUUGAUUGUUUGAAUUGUAUACUGAUUGGGUUAGAUUUUUUCAGGUACCUAAGUUGCUUUGAGUUCUUAUUGAACUUGCUUUUGCUUUGCUUGGUUGCUUAACCAUUGAGGUAUAACUCACUGACUUCAUGUAGUCUGGAAGACCUGUCCUAUUAUGUGGGCAGGCACCUGUCUGAAGCCCUCCUUAAGAGGCAAUGCUUGUGUUUGUUUACUUUUGUGCCAAGCAGGAAAAGUCCUCUUAUGAGGCAAUUGGCAGAUAAAAGAGAUGUGCAAUCCAUCUCCUGCUAUUCAGUGCGUCAUUCACUUUGCUCAGACACCUUGUGUUGAUGCAUUGUGGAUAUUAACUCAAGAUCUUUGUUGUGUCAGUCAUAUGUGGAGAAGAGUUCCUACUUUCUGAACUCCCACACUUUCAUUUGUCUGAAGCUCUCCCAGGCCAGGGAUAAGAGCUGUGAGGUCUUAUCCUCACUUCCCAUUUCAUCUGCUUCACCCUAACUCUCAAUGUUAGGGUUAAGAGCUAACUACACCCGAUUCCAGUUGGCUUGUGUUUCACAGCUUAACCUUGUAUGAGCCCAAUUGUUUGCAUAUAGUGUGUGUGCUUGCUUAUUGUACUUGUAUGUAUUUGCCUGUGCUGUUUAGGAUAGCUUGCUCCCUGUGCAAGUUAGAUAGAAACCUUAACAUAGGGAUCGUAGGCAUGACAACUUCUAGGCUCGAGUCGUAGUCUCCCUAGUAGCUUGUUAUCUCCCUUGUCUCUGGUUAGGUUAGAAGUUCUUUCCCUGUUUAGGGGAACUACGUCGCCCUGAUCCUCAUACCAGAUGAGGUACGUAGGCAGGAGAUGAGCUGAUCUCUCCGGGCGCCCUUUUU